AGGAGAGUUUGAUCCUGGCUCAGGAUGAACGCUAGCGGCAGGCUUAACACAUGCAAGUCGAGGGGCAGCGGGUGUAGCAAUACAUGCCGGCGACCGGCGCAAGGGUGCGUAACGCGUGAGCAAUCUGCCCGUAUCAGGGGGAUAAGCGAUGGAAACGUCGUCUAAUACCGCAUAACACCAUUGAUGGCAUCAUCGGUGGUUGAAAGCUUCGGUGGAUACGGAUGAGCUCGCGAGACAUUAGUUAGUUGGCGGGGUAACGGCCCACCAAGACCGCGAUGUCUAGGGGAACUGAGAGGUUGGUCCCCCACACUGGAACUGAGACACGGUCCAGACUCCUACGGGAGGCAGCAGUGAGGAAUAUUGGACAAUGGCCGGAAGGCUGAUCUAGCCAUGCCGCGUGAAGGAAUAAGGUCCUAUGGAUUGUAAACUUCUUUUGUACGAGAGCAAUAAGUGUCACGUGUGACACGAUGAGAGUAUCGUACGAAUAAGCAUCGGCUAACUCCGUGCCAGCAGCCGCGGUAAUACGGAGGAUGCGAGCGUUAUCCGGAUUUAUUGGGUUUAAAGGGUGCGUAGGCGGGAUUUUAAGUCAGCGGUGAAACGCAAGGGCUCAACCCUUGACCUGCCGUUGAAACUGGAGUUCUUGAAUGCGGAUGCUGUGGGAGGAAUGUGUGGUGUAGCGGUGAAAUGCAUAGAUAUCACACAGAACACCGAUUGCGAAGGCAUCUCACAAAUCCGUGAUUGACGCUGAGGCACGAAAGUGUGGGGAUCAAACAGGAUUAGAUACCCUGGUAGUCCCCU
This 798-nucleotide ribosomal RNA is filed under the name uncultured Bacteroidota bacterium. Its description in RNAcentral is "bacterial SSU rRNA". It matches the Rfam family "Bacterial small subunit ribosomal RNA", at positions 1 to 799 of the family's 1533-position model. Lineage: Bacteria; Pseudomonadati; Bacteroidota. The record is from RNAcentral.